UACGGAGGGUGCAAGCGUUAUCCGGAUUUACUGGGUUUAAAGGGUGCGUAGGUGGGUCUGUAAGUCAGUGGUGAAAUCUCCGGGCUUAACUCGGAAACUGCCAUUGAUACUAUAGGUCUUGAAUUAUCUGGAGGUGAGCGGAAUAUGUCAUGCAGCGGUGAAAUGCUUAGAUAUGACAUAGAACACCAAUUGCGAAGGCAGCUCACUACGGAUAUAUUGACACUGAGGCACGAAAGCGUGGGGAUCAAACAGG
This 253-nucleotide ribosomal RNA is filed under the name uncultured bacterium. RNAcentral describes it as "partial 16S ribosomal RNA". It matches the Rfam family "Bacterial small subunit ribosomal RNA", at positions 524 to 776 of the family's 1533-position model. The record is from RNAcentral.